RNAcentral lists this ribosomal RNA (493 nucleotides) under uncultured bacterium. RNAcentral describes it as "bacterial SSU rRNA". It matches the Rfam family "Bacterial small subunit ribosomal RNA", at positions 36 to 507 of the family's 1533-position model. The record is from RNAcentral.
CGACUGGCGGUAUGCCUAACACAUGCAAGUCGAACGAGAAAGCUCUUCGGAGUGAGUAGAGUGGCGCACGGGUUAGUAACACGUGGAUAAUCUGCCUUUAAGCGAAGAAUAACCACUCGAAAGAGUGGCUAAUGCUUCAUGAGCCCACAGUAUCUUCGGAUGCAGGGGGAAAAGAUGGCCUCUUCUUGAAAGCUGUCACUUAAAGAUGAGUCCGCGCACCAUUAGCUUGUUGGUGGGGUAAUGGCCUACCAAGGCUUAGAUGGUUAGCUGGUCUGAGAGGAUGAUCAGCAACACUGGAACUGAGACACGGUCCAGACUCCUACGGGAGGCAGCAGUGGGGAAUAUUGGACAAUGGGCGAAAGCCUGAUCCAGCAAUACCGCGUGAGUGAUGAAGGUUUUCGGAUCGUAAAGCUCUGUCAGUGGGGACGAAAAAGCUUACCUAAUACGUAAGUCCUUGACGGUACCCACAAAGGAAGCACCGGCUAACUCUGUG